RNAcentral lists this microRNA precursor (64 nucleotides) under Microtus ochrogaster (prairie vole). RNAcentral describes it as "miRNA (ENSMOCG00000005465.1)". The record is from RNAcentral. Lineage: Eukaryota; Metazoa; Chordata; Mammalia; Rodentia; Cricetidae.
CAGUUUACCUGUCUAUGAGAGGGAGUACCCAGCAUCUCCUAUCUCGUAGGCGGGGUUAACUAAU